GGUGUCGUGGCUCUCGAGACCUGAAGGACCUCGUCCCGACCCUCGCUGUCUGUGGCGCGGACGCCGAGCCUUUCCGUGGACUGCGGUGGGGUGCGGCGGGCUGGGGUCGCGGCGGCCGGGCGGUGGAGUCGGCUUUUCAGCAAGUCCUCAGCCCGCUCCGCACACGCUCUCUUUCCUCCGAGGGUGUCAGUUCCUGCUUCCUGUAUAUUAACCUUAAUUCACAGUACCAGCUUUGGACAGCCCAAAGAAAAUAGGCUCUUCUUCAGAAACACCCAUCUCUACUUUAAGGAGCCAGUAAUAUACACUAAUGUGAACGAAUCCAGUAAAAAGAGUGGCUUGAAAAGUAACCAGCAUGAAUAACAUGGUAUCAUCUACGGAAAAAUCCACUCCAGCUUCAGAAUACCUGGCUUAAAAAGAACUUUCAUAAUGGACCCAUUUCAUGGGAUUGUUUUAUCCUGCAUUCUUGGGGUCUUAGACUGCUUACCUAGAGUUUUAAGAUCUAUGUGAACUAACUUUUCUUUUGGUAAGUUAAUAAUGAAACAAAAUAGUAUCCAAGCUAAGUCAACUAUUGGAUGUGUUUUAUUAUUUUUUGUUAUGUUUUUGUGACACUUGUACAUGGUGAAGAAGUAACUGAGCAAAAAUUCUACAUAGUAUGUUCACAACUCAUUUUGAAUAUUGUGUGUUUUUUAUAAAAAUUACCUGUCUUUAUGUAUAAUUGUAGAAUUUUGAGGUAUGUUUAUUAAAGUCCUUCCAGGGAUAUGUUGUGCUAUUAGAUUGCAGGUUAAGGGGAAGCUAUAGAAUCCUUUUUACCAGUUUUACCUUUGACAGUUGUGCUUUUAUAUACAACAUAAUGUGAACAGCCAAUGUAAAUUUUUAAAAUUUGUAGUUAUAUUUAUCUCUGUGCUGUGCACAUUUUAUUUUUCUCACUU
Long non-coding RNA from Eubalaena glacialis (North Atlantic right whale), 929 nucleotides. RefSeq lists it as uncharacterized. The transcript has 3 exons. Lineage: Eukaryota; Metazoa; Chordata; Mammalia; Artiodactyla; Balaenidae. The record is from RefSeq and is a predicted model, not a curated record.